RNAcentral lists this unclassified non-coding RNA (587 nucleotides) under uncultured bacterium. Its description in RNAcentral is "partial contains 16S ribosomal RNA, 16S-23S ribosomal RNA intergenic spacer, and 23S ribosomal RNA". The stretch from base 474 to 587 matches the Rfam family "Bacterial large subunit ribosomal RNA", at positions 1 to 114 of the family's 2925-position model. The record is from RNAcentral.
UCUGGAGCGUGGUUCCGCUCCGGAGGUUUUUUCAGGAAAGCCCCCCGGCGGCGCAGGAGACAUUACUCCGACGACAUUGACACAUACAAGGAAACAGCCCCGUUCCCUAGCCGAGGUCAGAAGAAUCCUGUCGCACACCAUACCACGGAAGAGUCCCGGGUGAGCCAAAGCGUCGGCCACCCGGGAGGACACCGCGGCACGGGGGAUUAGCUCAGCUGGCUAGAGCACCUGCUUUGCAAGCAGGGGGUCAACGGUUCGAAUCCGUUAUUCUCCACCCGAAACGAGUACAUUGACAUACUGGAGAAGCAGUGUAGGUAACGCUACACUGCGAGCAGACACAAAAGAGUAGAACACAACGAGCGCCGCAUCGAGACGCUCCCGGGGGCUCCAAGAAGCACCGGGAAGCGGCAAGAUACGGUAAAGCAAAGGCAAGGCGAAAAUAAACCAAUAAGUCGUAGACUUCUUGAAACGUACAACGGGACGAGAAGGGCGCAUGGGGGAUGCCUUGGCUCUCGGAGGCGAAGAAGGACGUGACAAGCUGCGAAAAGCCGCGGCGAGGGGCAAAUACCCUUUGACCCGCGGAUGUC